GGAGGUGAAAGGAGCCCGGGGGUUCUCGCGGUCUUCAAAACCGUUGUGCCGUCUUGCGGCGGCGGGUGGGUUCGACUCCCAUUCACCUCCGCCA
This 94-nucleotide transfer RNA is filed under the name candidate division BRC1 bacterium ADurb.Bin183. RNAcentral's name for it is "tRNA-Sec". It matches the Rfam family "Selenocysteine transfer RNA". RNAcentral also lists the same sequence under 2 other names. The record is from RNAcentral. Lineage: Bacteria; Candidatus Sumerlaeota.